Molecule: non-coding RNA, 46 nt
Filed under: Schistosoma margrebowiei
Lineage: Eukaryota; Metazoa; Platyhelminthes; Trematoda; Strigeidida; Schistosomatidae
Source: RNAcentral
GCCUUGUUGAGGAGCCCCAUAAUAGGACGAAACGGCCGUCCAGUGC